AGAACGAACGCUGGCGGCAGGCCUAACACAUGCAAGUCGAGCGCCCAGCAAUGGGAGCGGCGGACGGGUGAGUAACACGUGGGAAUAUGCCUUUCGGUUCGGAACAACUCGGGGAAACUCGUGCUAAUUCCGGAUACGCCCUUACGGGGAAAGAUUUAUCGCCGAAAGAUUAGCCCGCGUCCGAUUAGCUAGUUGGUGAGGUAAUGGCUCACCAAGGCACCGAUCGGUAGCUGGUUUGAGAGAACGACCAGCCACACUGGGACUGAGACACGGCACAGACUCCUACGGGAGGCAGCAGUGGGGAAUCUUGGACAAUGGGGGAAACCCUGAUCCAGCCAUGCCGCGUGAGUGAUGAAGGCCUUCGGGUUGUAAAACUCUUUCGGCGGGGACGAUAAUGACGGUACCCGCAGAAGAAGCUCCGGCUAACUUCGCGCCAGCAGCCGC
This 444-nucleotide ribosomal RNA is filed under the name uncultured bacterium. RNAcentral's name for it is "SSU rRNA". It matches the Rfam family "Bacterial small subunit ribosomal RNA", at positions 26 to 518 of the family's 1533-position model. The record is from RNAcentral.